GAGAGAGAGAGAGAGAGAUGGAGAUGAAGCAGAAAGAAGAGGGAUCCAACUCAUCCAAGGCUCCAAGUGAUCCAUACUUCAAAACAAAGCCUGGAAGUGUUUUCCCCGCAAAGAAGAAGCUAGUGAAGCGCAGGGUGUUUGAAUGCUUGGUUCAUUGCGCAGCACCAAACAAGGCAGCUGCUUGUUGCUGCACUGAGCCUAAGAAGAGUAAGGCCAUAUUUCCAAACCCCUAAUGUAACACCCUUUUAUACAGUCCUCCCCUGCUCUUAUCUGUUCCCAUUGUAAUAUAUUUUCUUCAGAGGCUAGUAUUUUCAUUUUCUGUCUUCAAAGUCUAGAGAUUGUUUUAGGGUUAAUUGUGAGAUGUGAGUUGUAAUUAGCUCUUUAUAAUAUUAUUCUUGUACACUUCUUU
RNAcentral lists this unclassified non-coding RNA (409 nucleotides) under Hevea brasiliensis (rubber tree). The record is from RNAcentral. Lineage: Eukaryota; Viridiplantae; Streptophyta; Magnoliopsida; Malpighiales; Euphorbiaceae.